This 258-nucleotide ribosomal RNA is filed under the name Collimonas sp. ISO613_OTU1303. RNAcentral's name for it is "partial 16S ribosomal RNA". It matches the Rfam family "Bacterial small subunit ribosomal RNA", at positions 30 to 289 of the family's 1533-position model. The record is from RNAcentral. Lineage: Bacteria; Pseudomonadati; Pseudomonadota; Betaproteobacteria; Burkholderiales; Oxalobacteraceae.
UUGAACGCUGGCGGCAUNCCUUACACNUGCAAGUCGAACGGUAACAGGGAGCUUGCUCCGCUGACGAGUGGCGAACGGGUGAGUAAUAUAUCGGAACGUACCUUUGAGUGGGGGAUAACUNGUCGAAAGAUUAGCUAAUACCGCAUACGAUCUACGGAUGAAAGUGGGGGAUCGCAAGACCUCAUGCUCAUAGAGCGGCCGAUAUCUGAUUAGCUAGUUGGUGAGGUAAAGGCUCACCAAGGCUUCGAUCAGUAGCUG